RNAcentral lists this ribosomal RNA (253 nucleotides) under uncultured bacterium. Its description in RNAcentral is "partial 16S ribosomal RNA". It matches the Rfam family "Bacterial small subunit ribosomal RNA", at positions 524 to 776 of the family's 1533-position model. The record is from RNAcentral.
UACAGAGGUGGCAAGCGUUGUUCGGAAUUACUGGGCGUAAAGGGCGCGUAGGCGGCCUUCUAAGUCAGACGUGAAAUCCCCCGGCUUAACCUGGGAACUGCGUCUGAUACUGGAGGGCUUGAGUGCGGGAGAGGGAUGUGGAAUUCCUGGUGUAGCGGUGAAAUGCGUAGAUAUCUGGAGGAACACCGGUGGCGAAGGCGGCAUCCUGGACCGACACUGACGCUGAGGCGCGAAAGCUAGGGUAGCAAACGGG